Nicotiana tabacum (common tobacco) is the source of this 4535-nucleotide non-coding RNA. The record is from RefSeq and is a predicted model, not a curated record. Lineage: Eukaryota; Viridiplantae; Streptophyta; Magnoliopsida; Solanales; Solanaceae.
AAAAGCUUUGCACUUAAUUGUUGUAAAAUUGAGUGAGCACGUGAAAUUAACUGCUCUAAUCUCUAAACCCAUUCCUUCCUAUUCCAUAAUCAUGGAAUCCCGCAUCCAUAAAAUCUCAAGAUUUCAAUCUAAAAAAGGAGUUUAUGCCCUAGCCUUCAACUGUAGAACAAGAUCAUCCUUACAUGAUACCCAAAUCCUAAGUAAUUGGGUAUAUUAAGUGUAAAUACAAAUACUGUAUUAUUUGAGCAUCGAUUAUGGCCGAUGGUAAUAUGGUUACAACGUGCCAAGUACAAGCCUAAAUGCAAGGACUCCAUCCCUGGCGUGUUGAAUUUGAACAAGGAACCAUUUUUGUUUAUACCAGACGACCCAACAUCAACAUCAAAGAUUAAUGUGGAGUUCAAGUUGAUUACAGGCCCAACAUAUUAGCCCUAAGCAGGCCCUACUUAAGCUUAACCGGGAUCAGGUGAUUUGCUGAGCAGACAAGAUAACAUACCUUCCAGCUUUUGUAUAUAUUUGAGUUUGAUAGCUUCUUUGACCGUGAAAAGGCUGAGAAUUCGUAGCUUCUGGAAAAGCUGGAGAGCUGCUUCUGAAAAUGCUGCUGUUCUACCUGUUGAACAACUCAGUGCAGCAGAAAUGGAGCACUGGAUUAAGUUACUGCUGAGAAAGGCAAAUGUAGUUCAUUUUUACAUGGUUCGGUGUUGCAGAAGACACUUCAUAAGCAACUUGCCAUUGGAGGUGUUCUAUCAGAAGCUGAAUUUUGGGCUGCAAGGAAGGUUAGUGUCUAAAAAAGACUGUUAGUUUUAUUACUUUUUUGUUAAAAUGCUGUUAUUGACUUAAUGAAAGUAUUGAGCUAUAUCUGGAACACCUGGCAGCUGUUUCCUCAAUACAUUGUGAAAAGCAUUACAGUAUUUUACCGUGCAAAUGAACUGCAGAACAGUGCUGGAUCAGAGUGAUAGGAAGAAGCCUAAACAGCACGGUGGCUUUAAAAAAUGACAUGUUGAGUGUAAAACCUCUAUUUAAUGCUCAGGUCAGAGGAAACUCUUCUCUCCCUGUGCUAGGGGUUACAAUGCCUGUCACCAGAUGCAGCAAUGAUACCUGCCUAAUAGGUUGCAGUAUGAUUUUUUUUUAGCUCAAACGUAUGUCUAAUCAAAAGCGUUUUCUAUGAAAUCUGAUCAAAUUCUCCUAAUGCAGAAGGUAUUUAGUACUUCUGUAACCCUAUUAUUGAUCCAAUAACAGAAUAGAAGUAGAUAGAAAUGAAACUGAAUUUCGAGAGAGAUCUUUUGCCAGCAAAAAUGUCGUCAUUGGAUUUGCUUCCUUCCCCCCCCCCCCCCCUCCCAAGGGGCCUUGUGUGAUCCUGUACUUUGUGGACAUGAAAGCUUAACUAUCUGCUUUUCUCCAUUGGUGUUUCGGACAAACAGAGUUACAUUUAUCUUGGCACCAGAGGUUAUUCACCAGGUAAUCUUAUGUGUUCUAUGAAAUGGUUUAAAUUAAUGGAACAUUAUAAAGAAAUCAAACUCAGCUUAAAUGAUAUGACAUAAGGUAUGGAAACUUCAUCUGCCUAGAUGAAAUGAGAAAUACAUGAGUGGAUUUUGCUUCAAAUGGAUGUCUCAGUUAAACUAGGAAGAGUUUUGAAAUUACAAAAUGUUAGAGCAAUUGGUUAAAAGUGUUCAGGAAUGGCAUGUGCUUGGUUCCACGCUGGAGCAUAAAGUAGGCAAACCUUGAGUUUAUGGUAUUGUGUUGUGAAUUUGCACCUGUCAAUAGAGAGUAGAGGUGUUUCAAGACUCCUCGACAUCUUAAGCUUAUGGAUAUGGAAGAAAUGGAGCCAAGUUGUGAAACUUGAACAUGCUCCAGGAAGGCCAAUCACUCCUAGAGGCUCGAAGUUAUUGGCUUCUACAGUGCAGUCAGGAACCACUGCUUCACUUGUCAAAUUUGAUACACACAAGUUAUUACAUGAAAAAGGAGUACCCUCAAUCCUUAAGUUUCAUUUUACCUAAUUCUUUAAGUGAAGUUUCUGUUUCCAGAUAUCAUAUCUUUCACACGGCUCUUUAAUAUCUACAACAGAUGCUACUUGUUGAAUUUUAAAUAAGAGCAACUGGCAUUAGAGCUUUGUCGAGUUCAUUAUGACAAAAAAGUAUUUUAACAACCUUAGAUGUAACUUUGCUUUGUAAUCGGUGCCUAAUCAUGUUGGAAAUUUAGUUUUAGAUCUUUGCUGAGAAACCAACUGGCCUAAAUGGCAUAUUUGAACUUCGUGCCGAGCAAGGUAAAAGACUGUGCAAAUAAAUGAGAUUGAAUCUUUUUAUUUGCAGAAGCGAUUUAAACUCUAUCAAUAAGGUUCAUUCUGAUCUUCUUAAUAUUUUCAUACACAAGUGCAUGUUGGGCGAGAUAUAUGUGCUUAGUUUAUUCCAAAAUCUUGGGGCUAGCUUGCCAUCAUCAAGUCUUAAUCUUAGGUGAAGUUUUGGAAACCUUUUUAACUACCAUCGGAUGUGGAAGCAAGCGGAAAACUGUUGUGCCACCUUAAGUUUACCACAUUUUCUGGCUUCCAUCUCUCUCUUUUUUUCCCCCUUUACCACUUGAUAAAGGGCAGCCCGGAGCACUAAGCUCCCUCUAUGCGCGAGGUCCGGGGAAGAGCCGGACCACAAGGGUCUAUUGUACGCAGUCCUACCCUGCAUUUCUGCAAGAGGCUGUUUCCACGGCUUGAACCCAUGACCUCCUGGUCACAUGGCAACAACUUUACCUGGAGGUCACGGGUUCAACCCGUGGAAACAGCUUCUUGCAGAAAUGUAGGGUAAGGCUGCGUAUAAUACACCUUUGUGGUCUAGCCCUUUCCCGGAUCCCGCGCAUAGCGGGAGCUUAGUGCAUCGGGCUGCCUUUAUCAAGUGUUAAAAAAAAAAAAAGCAAGACUCAAAUCUUAUUGCACUUUUAAAUGGUUGAACUUACAGUCUUUCAAAAUAAUAAGACACAAAUCUUAUCAGAUGAUAGAAAAGGAAUUUUGGACCAAAUAUUUAAGAGCAGAAUACCUCCACAGUACGAAAAACAUUGUUGCAGGUUCUUGAAGCAAGAUGAUCUGUUAGCUUAUGAAGCUCGGAAGAAGGUUUGUACAUCAGAUUUUACCAAUUUUAAUUAUUUAACAAUUGACAUCCAAAACUUGAGAAGUGAGGUGUAUAUUACUGCUCUCUCUCUCCCUCCCUCUUGCUAUCUGAGUAUCUCUGUUAUUUUUCCCCUUGAGAGGAAAUGGAAGGAGAAAAUUGUUUCUUUGAAUGAUUGGUCUUCCUUCCAGAUCAGACGGGUGGAUCCAACUCUGGACAUGGAACCAGAUGAAGGCGAUGAUUACAUACACCUCCAGGAUCAUGGACUACCUCAUGGUGAAACUAGGAGAUUUUGGAUCCACAGUAUGAGCCAUACAAGAGAUCAUCCUCGCAGCUCCUCUACAAGCAUGCAGCCAUGGUCCUUUGAGGAAGAGUUGUACAUGUUGAACUGGAUGGUUCACGGUCUGUUGCUGAAGCAUUCACCAGGGCAAACAGGCUGAACUAGCUAUCGAAGUGUCUGAUGAAAAGGAUAUAAAAAACGCCUGGAUAAAAUUCUCCGAGUGGCUCAUGAUAUUGAGGAUCUUCAUUCACCUUGUGAUCGUCCAGUUGCAUUCCUGAGUAUCAACGUUCCUCGAGACUACUUACUUUGAUUCUCAACGCGCAAAUGCAAUAAAGGCUUUGGGGGAUGCAGUUGUUGGGAUGAAACAGUUGAAACCUAGUGUGAUCGUACAAGAAGCCUUUUAGCUCCUUAGAGGAAUCCAUUUCCGAGAUCAAUUCUUCUCUUCUCGAGAAUAAACUGAACCAAAAAUUAGUUCAGAAGUAGCUCUCAAGGUUCUCAGUGCGCCAAGUAUCAUCUGGGAAAGAACCCCGGUGAGCGUCUUUUGGAUCAGUUACUUAGUGCAACCAAAAAAUGAAUUGCUACUUCACUGGACAUCAAUUCAGGAAAUGUUGAAGCAUUUCUGGUCAUUGUAUCCAAUAACAAGUAAAUAUUUUUAAACUAAGUUAACUAGAUUAAAGGAUGUGAUGUCCCAAAUAUAUGGAAAGCUGCAGAAGAUUAAGGAAUCUGUGCAAUCUGAUAUCCAACAUCAAGUUUCCCUUCUUGUACAGCCAAUGCUUCAGGUUCUUGAUGCUGCCUUUGCUCAUUACGACGCAGAUGUACAGAUGAGAUCUGCAAGAGGUGGGGAGAGACAAAAUAGACUUGUGUAGGCAAAGUGCCCGUUUUCACCUGAUUCUACCUCCCUUUGUCUUAUGAUAGAUUGGUUUUAUAGCUCAUUACAAAUAUUUUUUCGUAUAUAGUUUUUCCACCGGAGAUCGUUAUGAUAAUUUUUGUUUGAUCAUUUUCUUCGAUUCAAAUUGUAAUUGGUCAUAAGAAAUUAUUUCCUUUUGUCUUCAUGGGGUCACACAAAUGUACAUCCAGUAAUGAAAUGGGUGGACGUCCAAAUUGUACAUAUAUUGAGAUAUUGUCGAGGCAGGUAUAUCAGAGUUUUUCUUUAUUAGUUGGUUCUUUUC